RNAcentral lists this long non-coding RNA (1225 nucleotides) under Cervus hanglu yarkandensis (Yarkand deer). RNAcentral describes it as "lncRNA (ENSCHYG00000009623.1)". Lineage: Eukaryota; Metazoa; Chordata; Mammalia; Artiodactyla; Cervidae. The record is from RNAcentral.
UUCAUCAUGGAUGUUGAGGGGGGUUUUAAGCAAGGAAGAUUUAAUGAAGGGCUAGGAUUGGAGAAUUACCGGAUCCACGUGGGAGAUGCUGCUGCUGCUAUUUACGGAGGUCUCCGUGCUUCCUUUCGCUUUAGAAACAAUCUCUAGUAGAAAGUUCCUGAGUUUUGCAAUGUUUAAACUGGGAGAAAAGAGUGUGAAGCAAACAGAAAAGAAUAACCAUUCAAAAACUAUCCAGGAUUUGAUUCCUUACUCUAAGUCCACUGCUAAACUACUCAUCCAAGUCACCAUUACCUCUCACCUGGAUUAUUACAAUAAGUAUUAAACCAUCUUCCCUAAACUUAAUCAAUGUCUUCCUGCAGUCUGUUCUCCACCCAGGAAUCAGAGUGACAGCUUUAAACUGUAAAUCUGAUCACGUCACUCCUCUGCUCAAACUCCGAGACAAAGGCAAGUGCUUUAGAAGGCCCUGUGGGUUCUGGACCACUGCCCUCCCCCAAUCUCUCUGACUUUUUCUUCUGCUCACCCUUUACUCAUCUCUGCCAUAGGAGCCUUUUUGAUUUUCUGGAACGUUUGAUUUGCAGCAUUCCCCUGGCUCGGUGACUUUGCGCUAGCCGUUCCUCUGUCCUCAGUGGUCCUUAGGGAUUCUGCAUAGUGCACUUCCUUUGGGUUUCUGCUCGGAUGUCACUGUAUCAGUGAGGCCUUCCAUGACCACCUAUAACAUCUGCCGUCUCUCAGCAAUUUCCAUCUUUACCCCCUACUUAAUUUUUCUGCAGAGCCCAUCUAGUGUCACUUGAUAUGUUGUAUGUUAAUUUUAUUGGAUUAUUUGUUUAAUUUCUGUCUCACUUUGGUAAAAUAUAAGUUCUAUGCAGUUAGGGACUUUGCCUCAGAAAAAAACAAGGCAUGCCUCAUUAAUUUGUUGCUAGCAGAAUAAAUGGUACUUUAAAGGGAAAGAUGUUUCAGAAAGAAGAUUCUUAUUGAUUUUUUAUUCAACAUAUGUAAAGAGAUACAAGAUAUAAUAUUGAUUUUCUAUUCAAUGUAUGUAAAGAGAUAAAAAUCCUAGUUAAUAUAUGUAAAUAAACAGUGGCUACGUUUGGUAUGCUGGGGAAGGAAAUGGCAACCUAUUCCAAGAUACUUGCCUGGAAAAUUCCAUGGACAGAGCAGUUUGGGGGGUUACAGUUCAUGGAGUUGUAAAGAGCUGGACACUGCUGAGCACAUCCGCAUGCAUGCA